Long non-coding RNA from Nicotiana attenuata, 1362 nucleotides. RefSeq lists it as uncharacterized. The record is from RefSeq and is a predicted model, not a curated record. The transcript is spliced from 2 exons. NCBI's taxonomy places the organism in Eukaryota, Viridiplantae, Streptophyta, Magnoliopsida, Solanales, Solanaceae.
CUAUAUACUUUCCUCGUCAAAAAUAUUCACAUUAUAAAAACAGAUUCAACCGCAUGCCCGUGCACGUAGAAAAGAAGUAGAAGAAGAAGAUGGAGAAAUUGAAAGAAAUCCCAUCUGAAAUUGUGUUUGCAAUUCUAACUUGGCUACCCGUUAAGGCUUUGGACAGAUUUAAGUGUGUAUCAAAAUCUUGGUCCUCAAUUAUUCUCCAACCUGAAUUCGUGAAAUCACAUAGGCCUUCCGGCUGCAUACUUCUCAAUAUCGAUAUUUCGAUGAAGAAAGGCCUCUUUUACGCAUCCAUAAAUGUAAGAGGUGAUUCGUUACGACACGAGCAAAUCGAAGAUUUAAAGACAGAAACAUUUGUUCAACGAUUAAGCAUGCCCUGUUUUGGUUAUGAUAACAUUACUCCAUUUUAAACGGCCUUGCUUGCCUUUACAAGGGCAAUCAAGUUUCACUUUUUAAUAUAUUUACUUGUGAGAUUAUGGAGCUUUUCCCUUCCCGUAUAUAUAUUGUAGGUCCUGGAAUUUGGUAUGCACUUGGUUUCGACCCUGUGGAUAAUGUAUACAAAUUGCUUAAAGUUAGUUCGCAACUAGAUUACAAGAUCCUCACUCUGAAUCCAAGUUCAAAAUCGACAUGGAAAUGGAGAACGAUGGAUGUUCCGCAUAUAGUAUCCAUAAUUUCUGUCAAGGAUCAACGUUAAUUUGUAAAUGGGGUAAUCUUUUGGAAAUGUUGUGACUGGCGAGAAGAAUUUAUUAUAGCUUUUGAUGUCCACAAAGAAAAUUUCACCACUAUAAACCCUCCAACAAGCUUACAGAUUAGAAGAUUAGGUCAAUUUGAGGGGCGCCUAGCACUAUCUUAUACACAGUGGAAGAACCCUAAUUCUUGGGUUUUGGAUAUUUUGGUGUUAGAAAAUCAUCAAAAUUCUAUAUGGAAUAAAAUCACUAUUGAUUUGCCAGCUGAAGUAGAUGAACACUUUUAUAUGGCUACACCUAUUGGAAACUUUCCUUGUGGUGAGUUGUUAUUCUCUUGCUUUGGCUUUGUAAGUGUAAUAAUGGAGAUGGACUACUUAUUUUAUACUUAUGAUCCUAUCAAGAAAAAAUUCACCAAUUUGAUGAUUGAGCUUCCUGCAUAUGUGGACCGUCUAUGUCCAUAUCCUGUUGAUCAUAUGUCUUGUCUUUUCGGGAAGAUUACCACACUGGAUGAUUUACUUGGAUUUAGAAAAAGAGUUGAAUAAUAAUGAUUAGGAGAUGUGUAGUUAGAGAUGGAUUCAUUAUUUAUACUUGUUUUUGUUCGGUAUUUAAGUUUCUUAGUAUUAGACUCAUUGUACUUUUAAAUUUAUGUCUAAAUUUAAUAUUCGUUUAAUCA